RNAcentral lists this transfer RNA (83 nucleotides) under Bacteroidota bacterium. RNAcentral's name for it is "Bacteroidetes bacterium tRNA-Leu". It matches the Rfam family "tRNA". From Rfam's summary of the family: Transfer RNA (tRNA) molecules are approximately 80 nucleotides in length. Their secondary structure includes four short double-helical elements and three loops (D, anti-codon, and T loops). The record is from RNAcentral. RNAcentral also lists the same sequence under 1 other name. Lineage: Bacteria; Pseudomonadati; Bacteroidota.
GCCCGGAUGGCGGAAUUGGUAGACGCGCUGGUCUCAAACACCAGUGGGCUUAGCCCAUGCCGGUUCGACCCCGGCUCCGGGUA